UACGAGGGGGGCGAGUCGUUGUUCGGAAUUAUUGGGCGUAAAGGGUGCGUAGGCGGUUUGGUAAGUCUGAUGUGAAAUCUAUGGGCUCAACUCAUAGUCUGCAUCGGAAACUGCCGGGCUUGAGUGUGGGAGAGGUGAGUGGAAUUCCUGGUGUAGCGGUGAAAUGCGUAGAUAUCAGGAGGAACACCUGUGGCGAAAGCGGCUCACUGGACCAUAACUGACGCUGAUGCACGAAAGCUAGGGGAGCAAACAGG
RNAcentral lists this ribosomal RNA (254 nucleotides) under uncultured bacterium. RNAcentral describes it as "partial 16S ribosomal RNA". It matches the Rfam family "Bacterial small subunit ribosomal RNA", at positions 524 to 776 of the family's 1533-position model. The record is from RNAcentral.